GUAUACGGAAAAGGCUCAUAAAUACCCCUAACCUAUUGAAAAAGGCUCAUAAAUACCCUCCUUCCACCUUUUGGUCUAAAAAUACCCUUAAGGUUUGUUUUUGGCUCAAAUAUACCCCUCAAACUAACAAGUUAAAAUUAACUCUUUUAAAAAGCCAAAUGGCAUUUUGUAAUU
Lycium ferocissimum is the source of this 174-nucleotide long non-coding RNA. RefSeq lists it as uncharacterized. The record is from RefSeq and is a predicted model, not a curated record. NCBI's taxonomy places the organism in Eukaryota, Viridiplantae, Streptophyta, Magnoliopsida, Solanales, Solanaceae. The transcript has 2 exons.